Molecule: ribosomal RNA, 254 nt
Filed under: uncultured bacterium
Lineage: Bacteria
Description: partial 16S ribosomal RNA
Rfam family: Bacterial small subunit ribosomal RNA
Source: RNAcentral
UACGUAGGGUGCGAGCGUUAAUCGGAAUUACUGGGCGUAAAGCGUGCGCAGGCGGUUUUCCAAGACAGAUGUGAAAUCCCCGGGCUCAACCUGGGAAUGGCAUUUGUGACUGGAAGGCUAGAGUGUGUCAGAGGGGGGGUAGAAUUCCACGUGUAGCAGUGAAAUGCGUAGAGAUGUGGAGGAAUACCGAUGGCGAAGGCAGCCCCCUGGGAUAACAUUGACGCUCAUGCACGAAAGCGUGGGGAGCAAACAGG